AUGAAACAGAUUAUCACCGUGUCAACAGAGAAUGGUUACAGUGAUGAGAAUGAGGAGGAGCUGAAGCACUUGUGGAUGACCAUCUUCAUUUUCUUCAUUCUCUUCCUUCUCAGCGUGUGCUAUAGUGCAACCGUGACCCUAUUCAAAGUGAAAUGGCUUUUCUCCAGCAUGGUGAACAUGAAGAGGCAACCAACAGGCCCUGAUUAUAAGAAUGUACUCCAGAGUAUGAUAUGAAACCAUCUCCUGGGAGACCAGUUUUAUGUCUUCUUCAGAGAUGAAAAGCUGAAGUCCCUGGCCAAGGCUGGCAUUUCCCUCUCCAUCAAUGUCUUCUCAUCCUUGACAGGUGGAGAUGAAGCCUGUCAACUCAAGGUCUCCUAUAAGCAUGGCAAUUUUGCUAGAACCUGGACCAAGAUUUCUGAUCUGACGUCCUUAAUUUGAUGACUUGGGUUGGGCCAGAGCUCGGAAGAGGAAAAACUCUCUGACCAUCCAUCCUAGAGUUUUCUUUAAAGCAACUAGUUCUGCCACCCAACUUGUGGUCUAUAUGGUGCUUACAUUAUGCUCUCUUUAGCACUCAGUCUUUUUGGUCUUCGCACUGAUUUAUCCCAUUGCUGCUUUUAUAACUCAUUUUAUUAUUUCCGCUGGUGGUUUAUAUUUGUGUUUCUGACUGGCAUUAAUGCUGCUUUGUAAAAAAAAAAUUGUAUUUUAUAUGUUUUUCUGUUAUGUGCACUGUGCAGAACCCAUAGGUUAUGGGACAGUUUUAUAAUAUGGAAAAUUAAAUGAAUAAGGAAUUAGAGAGAGUGGAUAUUUUGGCACAUUCCUGAGGAAAGUAACUUAGUGUUUCAUAAGCUACACCAAGUGACUUCCAGCCUCACUUUCCAUCUUACCUUCUGCAUUUCUGGGCCCCACAUUUUCUCUAUAUCCUUUUUGUACAAUAUGGAUUCCAUUAAGAAGACUUCCAGCCCCGGGCAACAAUGGGAGACUCUUGACUAUUCUGUUUGGGUCAGAUCCUUUAAACAUAACAAAGAAAUAUCCCAUAUUAGCAUCCUCACCUCAGUAUCAAAAUACUCAAAUGUUCUAAAGGCACCAGAUCUUAUCUGAUCUUGGAGGGUCAUCCCUGAUUAAUACUUUGACAGGAGACCAUCAAGAAAUACCAGGUGCUGUAGGCUAUAUUUAAGAGGAAGUAAAUAGAAGAUCACCUCUGAAUAUUUCUGAUCUAAGAAAACACUGAAAUUAAUGAGGUGUCCAGAAGUUGACAGGUGAGAUGAACACACAUACACACACACAUAUGUCAACACCAUUCAAAUAAUUAAACUAGUCAGUUUUGUAAGUGCUUUACAUCUCCCUUCCCACACACACACACGUAUUCCAUGUUCUUCAAACUCAAUGCUGGUGCUGAGAAGAUAUCUGAUAGUUUCAUAAACUGGUUGUUUGUGAUGUAUUCUUAAAAAAUAAUAAAUAAUAAAUACAAAAAUAAAAGAAAGUCUCCUUAUGGUUUUUUGUUUUGUUUGUUUUGUUGGGGUUUUUUUUUUUUUGCACUGAUAAAUAUUGGCUACUAUUUCAGAUUUGCAGGAAGACUUUUAACUCUUCCAGUUGAUAGUAGAUCAGGUGUUUGGAAGAUGUGAUGGGGUUGCCUAUGACAUUGUGGCCCUUGGAGAUAAUAUGUCCAGUUAAUAUUCAAACGACCACUCCUUGGAGGGAAGGAAGAGCAGCCAGGUAUAGCUCCAUCAUGCUGUGGCUUCUUUCAUCAAAUGGUGAGAAGCCCUCUCUCCAUUCCAAAUUCUACCGGUAUGCCCUCUGAGACUGAAUCUACAUUGCCAUAUAAUCUAGAUUAUCUUCUUUGAACUGGAUUAUAUGAGUCUACACUGCCAUAUAAUCCAGUUCAAAGCAGAUAAUAUGGAUUUUAUAUGGCAGUGUAGAUGGGGCCUGAGGAAGUGAAGAGUAAAGCUCCAUCAUGACUUGGUACCAGGUGCUUCCUCCAUUCCAAAUCCUACUACGAAGUCCUUAGAAAUGAAGAAGAGCAGUCAGCAUCUGAUGGACUUAAUCUCCUCUCUCACUAUCAUUCUGUUUUCUUUCUGUGUCAUAUCUUAUAUUCCCAAAUUUUGGGCCUCUGGGUGUUCUGGACUUCUAUUCCCAGAAGUGUUCGCAAAUUUGGCCUACAGCAAGGAAUUCUGUGGAACUCAUUGCCUCCAUAUGUUAGAGCAAUGUCGGAGUUGUGACCUUUUGUAAAAGUGCUCAAGACUUGGCUGUUUGGUUGUGCAUUUAAGUAAAUCAGAUCUAAUUUGCCAAAUAGUCACUGUUGAAUGUUUUUAGGUUGAAUGUUUUUAUGUUGAAUGUUUUUAUGUUGAAUGUUUUUUAUAUUGUGGAAUGAUAUUUUAAAUUGUAAGUUGCUCGGAGCACUCUGGUGAAGAGCGACUAAUUAAGAAAUAAAGUGAAGUGAAGUGAAGUAAAAAAGUUAAACUUACAAAUGUGGAGGACCAACUAUAAUAAUAUAGAUAAGCUCUCAACAUGUUCCUGUAAAACAGUGGCUGGGAUCAUUCAAUCAAUUGCUGAAUGGUAUAUAGAUUUUUUUUCUUGUGUCAGGAGUGAUUUGAGAAACUGCAAGUUGCUUCUGGUGUGAGAGAAUUGGCCGUCUGCAAGGACAUUGCCCAGAGGAUGCCCGGAUGUUUGAUGUUUUACCAUCCUUGUGGGAGGUUUCUCUCAUGUUCCUGUAUGGGGAGCUGGAGCUGACAGAGGGAACUCACCUGCUCUCCCCGGAUUUGAACCGCUGACCUGUCAGUCAGCAGUUCUACUGGCACAAGGGUUUAACCCAUUGUGCCACCGGGGCAGUAUAUAAAUAAAUUCCAUUGAUUAAGUUGGUCUACUCUAUAUAACACUAGCAAUAGGCCCAUAUUUACUUUAGUUCUUUACUGGAAAUUCUGAGUAAGUCUCCAUUUCAGAAAAAUAACAAAAUAUUUGCAUUUAACUUCUCAACAUCUAUCUGAUAUGAUAUGAUCUUAGUGUUAGUUGCUCUCCGUUUCCUUUGAUAGAGAAGGAGUGGGAAAUUAUUAUUAUUAUUAUUAUUAUUUUAUUUUAUUAUUUCACUAUUCUUUUUUUGUUUUGUUGCACUCCAGCAAUACCUAGAGAUCCACAUCAGCCUACUUUGUGCUAAAAGGGAAAUGUCAUGCCAAAAAAGAACAUAGUGAGGAGUUAGAUUGGAUCUGUGACUUGCAGAGGAUUGUUUGAAUUUAGAGUAAAAAAUGGAACAAAUAUUAUUUUAUUUUAUUUUAUUUUAUUUUAUUUUAUAGUGUUGGGUCUUUGAGGGUUUUUUUUCCUUCUGGCCUUUUCUUCAAUUUUUUUAGACACUGUCACUUCCUUGACCCUUUGCUAGCUGCCUUUCGAAUGUAACACAGUAAUAAACAGGAUGCAGAUGUGCUGAAAGAAGAGGAACUGAAAACUAAGAGAGCUUAAAGAGAAAUGUACUUUUUCAAGGUGUGAUCGGUGCCAGUAAAAAAAAAAAUGCCUGAAUCAAGACAGAUCUUGAUCUUGACAUAAUUAUUAUUAAAGGUAGGAAUCACAAGGUCUUCCCAGUGUUGCAGGACAACAAAUCCUAUCACCAGGUUGUUGUGCAUUUUCCAGGCUGUAUGUCCAUGGUCCUGAAGCAUUAUCUCCUGACGUUUUGCCCACAUCUGUUGCAGGCAUUCUCAUACCACACAACCUCUGAAGAAGCAUUCAUCAGGAGAGAAUGCUUCUGGAAUAUAGCCAUACAGUCUGGAAAAUGCACAACAACCCAGUGAUUCCGGCCAUGAAAGCCUUUGACAACACAAUCCUAUCACUGUUUGACAACAUAGCCAUAUUCUUCAAGGUAAUGUUUUGAACAGCCUACCAGCUGUUAGGAAUUGUGAGAGUUGAAGUCCAAAACACUUGGAGGACCAACAUUUGCUCAUGGCUGAUCCAAGGGCUUGGUUCUUACACCAACUACCUCCUCCUCCUCCUCCUCCCUUUCAUUCGCCUUCUUUUUCUCCUCCUCCUUCUUCUUCUUCUUCCUCCUCACCACUGCUAUAGUCAUUGUACCCACAAGGAUGAGUCUUUCAUGUUUUACAUUCAUUAUUGUUCCCGGCAGACAACAAUAAACACAUACAGAAACAAAAAUCAAGUCUUCCUUUUUGAGAUUUGUGUGGCUGGUUCUGCACUCAAGCACUGCUUAUGAACAUCCCAUAGACCACAUGUGUCAAACUCAAAGUCCUUUGGAGAAAUCUGGCCCACCAGGUCAUUUUAGGUAGCCUUCCUGAUGCUGUACUACAGGAGUUGGAAUAUAGCAGUGGUGCUCAACCUGUGGGCCUCCAGAUGUUUUGGCCUUCAAGUCCCGGAAAUCCUAACAGCUGGUAAACUGGCUGGGAU
RNAcentral lists this long non-coding RNA (4377 nucleotides) under Anolis carolinensis (green anole). Its description in RNAcentral is "lncRNA (ENSACAG00000039318.1)". The record is from RNAcentral. Lineage: Eukaryota; Metazoa; Chordata; Lepidosauria; Squamata; Anolidae.